UAGGCAGAAGCCGGUUGGUUUAGGCAUCUAACUGUUAAUUAGGAUGUUAUGGGAUCGAAGCCCAUCUGUCUAG
RNAcentral lists this transfer RNA (73 nucleotides) under Glareola pratincola. It matches the Rfam family "tRNA". From Rfam's summary of the family: Transfer RNA (tRNA) molecules are approximately 80 nucleotides in length. Their secondary structure includes four short double-helical elements and three loops (D, anti-codon, and T loops). Further hydrogen bonds mediate the characteristic L-shaped molecular structure. tRNAs have two regions of fundamental functional importance: the anti-codon, which is responsible for specific mRNA codon recognition, and the 3' end, to which the tRNAs corresponding amino acid is attached (by aminoacyl-tRNA synthetases). tRNAs cope with the degeneracy of the genetic code in two manners: having more than one tRNA (with a specific anti-codon) for a particular amino acid; and 'wobble' base-pairing, i.e. permitting non-standard base-pairing at the 3rd anti-codon position. Lineage: Eukaryota; Metazoa; Chordata; Aves; Charadriiformes; Glareolidae. The record is from Rfam by way of RNAcentral. RNAcentral also lists the same sequence under 6 other names.